CAACCUCAACUCAUAUGGGACUACCCCCUGAAUUUAAGCAUAUUAAUUAGGGGAGGAAAAGAAACUAACAAGGGAUUUUCUUAGUAGCGGCGAGCGAAAAAGAAAUCAGUUCAGCACUAAGUCACUUUGUCUAUAUGGCAAAUGUGAGAUGCAGUGUACGGAACAUCAACAUUCUAGUAUGAGAAGUUAACGAUUUAAGUCCUUCUUAAAUGAGGCCAUUUACCCAUAGAGGGUGCCAGGCCCGUAUAACGUUAAUGAUUACUAGAUGGUGUUUCCAAAGAGUCGUGUUGCUUGAUAGUGCAGCACUAAGUGGGUGGUAAACUCCAUCUAAAACUAAAUAUAACCAUGAGACCGAUAGUAAACAAGUACCGUGAGGGAAAGUUGAAAAGAACUCUGAAUAGAGAGUUAAAUAGUACGUGAAACUGCUUAGAGGUUAAGCCCGAUGAACCUGAAUAUCCGUUAUGGAAAAUUCAUCAUUAGAAUUGUAAUAUUUUAAACAAUAUUAUAAUAAUAGUGUGCAUUUUUUCCAUAUAAGGACAUUGUAAUCUAUUAGCAUAAAUAUUUAUCAUAAAAUUAUGUCUGAUUGCUUAUUUGAAUUAUAUGCUUGGCAUUUUAACAUAAAAUAAAAGAUAUAAAUUUGAUAAAGUGCUGAUAGAUUUAUAUGAUUACAGUGCGUUAAUUUUUCGGAAUUAUAUAAUGGCAUAAUUAUCAUUGAUAUUUGUGUUUAUUAUAUGCAUUUGUAUGAUUAACAAUGCGAAAGAUUCAGGAUACCUUCGGGACCCGUCAGCAACACGGACCAAGGAGUCUAACAUAUG
Molecule: non-coding RNA, 815 nt
Filed under: Drosophila virilis
Lineage: Eukaryota; Metazoa; Arthropoda; Insecta; Diptera; Drosophilidae
Description: Eukaryotic large subunit ribosomal RNA
Rfam family: Eukaryotic large subunit ribosomal RNA
Source: Rfam by way of RNAcentral